UACGUAGGGGUGCAAGCGUUGUCCGGAAUUAUUGGGCGUAAAGAGCUCGUAGGCGGUCUGUCGCGUCGGAUGUGAAAAAUCCAGGGCUCAACCCUGGACCUGCAUUCGAUACGGGCAGACUAGAGUUCGGCAGGGGGAGACUGGAAUUCCUGGUGUAGCGGUGAAAUGCGCAGAUAUCAGGAGGAACACCGGUGGCGAAGGCGGGUCUCUGGGCCGAUACUGACGCUGAGGAGCGAAAGCGUGGGGGAGCGAACAGG
RNAcentral lists this ribosomal RNA (257 nucleotides) under uncultured bacterium. RNAcentral's name for it is "partial 16S ribosomal RNA". It matches the Rfam family "Bacterial small subunit ribosomal RNA", at positions 524 to 776 of the family's 1533-position model. The record is from RNAcentral.